Molecule: long non-coding RNA, 2620 nt
Organism: Lolium perenne
Lineage: Eukaryota; Viridiplantae; Streptophyta; Magnoliopsida; Poales; Poaceae
Source: RefSeq, a predicted model, not a curated record
CGGUAAAAAAACCUUCCGUGACCUGCCCUCACCAAAGUCGCACCCCGGAACCCAGAUCUAGCCCGCAAUCGCGCCGAACGCGGGAUGGCCAGGGGGUCUGAACGCCGGCGCGACGCCGACGGCUCCCGCGGAGAGAAGCGCCGCCGCCCGCGUCGGCCAGGGGCCUAAACGCCGGCGCGAUGCCGAGGGCUCCCGCAGCGAGAAACGCCGCCGCGCGCGCCAGCCAUGGUGCCUCAACGCCGGCGCGACGCCGAGGGCUCCCGCAGCGAGACGCGCCACCGCGCGCGAUGGCCAGGGACUCCUCGCGCAGCGCUAUGCCGCCAGAAUCUGCAGCGCCCUGCACCCAUCCUUUUUUCUCCAUUGGGUCGACCUCCCUGCUCCAUGAGGAUGGUGCAGGUGAACGACCACAGCUUCUGUACCUCCCUGACGACGAUGCGAUAUCCAUCCGGCGCGUUCGCCAGCUAUUGUGGACGUGAUGGUUGACCCCUGCUGUCGAUCGGAAGGACCUCACGGCUUGUGCUCCAUAAGGUCAAGCCAACGAAGAAGAAAUCCGAACCAUGGUGGUGGAUGCACCGCUUCUAUCCUCCCAUACCGCCUUGAAUUGUCCGUGGACUCACUAUUGGUUAGCUGUGCUCAUCUGGCCGGAAUCAGAGGUACACAGGCAGAAGAAGAAAAUGGAGCAGGAGGGAGACUCGGCGUCUCUUAGCCAUGGUUGGUGUCCAUCUGCAAAAAGCAACAUCACCUCACCACUUGAGUCCAUGUACCUGGUAUGCGUGUACGUUCUUCUUGCCGUUUGUUUCGAUUUGAUGUGCUGCGUGUUAGCUGGUAUCAUGGACCACUUUUUUUUUUGUAUUGGAUUCUUCAUUUCAGUAGGAAACAUUGUUCUAGAGGCAAAGAGUGUGCUUGAUUUAGAUGCUCAAUUGGGUCUAUAUUUUGGUCUUUGAGAUGUGCUAAACAAAAAUCCAAACUCUGUACAUCUUAAGUCGAUAUUUCUUUCCCAGUUUGAUUGUAGGUGCUAUGUGCAAAACUCGAUGUUAAAUUUAGUGCUUGAUAUGUCAUCACAAUUUUAAGAACUGAAAAAUUAUUUAUAUGAAAGUAAGAUUUGGAGAGUGAUCGUUUAGUUAUUCCAAUGUCACUAACUAUGUGGUGCUAAACAUGAUUGAGGGAUUAGUUAUUAGCGUGUAAUCAAAUUUUAAGAUUUUGAGGAUUUAAUUUUGAAGAUUUUGCAUAACUUGAAGCUCUGUUAAACUACUGAAAAAUAUAAAACGAUUUCUAUAAAAUAUAAGGUGUAAAUUUGAAAGAAGUUACCUGAGUUGUGCAGGUAGACUUUUAUCUGUACAAGCUUGAAAAGGGAUCUUAGGUAAAGUGGGAGUAUUCAAAAUAUUUUUGGUUGAGAAAUAAUGUUUAUCUUUUUCGGCCGGUAAAUGAAGCAGUUAAGUGAUGAAAUAAUCCACUAAACAUGGUAGUUUUCUAAGGGCCUGAGCUUGAGCAUUCCAUUUAUUCAGUGCAUCUCAUGCGAGUGGUAUUUAUCUUUAGAAGUAGACAGGAGUUCUCUAAGGGCAUGAUGUACCAGAAUUGGCUUACAUGAUAUGCAUGUCUUGGAUAGUGUUAUUAACCAAGAGUUAAUGAUUAUUGACUACUACUUAUCAGCUUCAAUUUUAGCCAAUAUAUAACAAAAUCAUUACAAGGAUCAUUAGUGUCUGGGCCCAUAAUAAUAUAUUCAAGGUCCAAAAGUACUAAAAUAAUCAGUGCCUGCGUCAAUAAUAAUAUAUUCACAAACCCAAAAUCAUACAAGAAUAGUCAGUGCUUGAGCCUGGGCCAACAAUAUCAUAGAUUGAGUGCUUUGUUUUCCUUUUUAGUUAGAGAUUUGUAGCUUCUUCUAAGUCUACUAACCGGUUAUACCUUAUUUCAGUUUUAGAAACAAUGCAUGAUGCAAUUUUAGAAACAAUGCAUGAUGCAAUUAUAGAUGAUGAGCAUCUCAAAAAAAAAAAGUAUAGAUGAUGAGAAGUUGGGAUCUGAAUAAAUAAUGGAUGUAUGCAACUUCUUUCCUCCAACGCAUAUAUGGGGUUCGUCCCCAGGAAAGCUCAAGCACCAUUAUACAGUACCUCCUUCAAUUCAUGCUAGCACUCGUGCAUGUACUGUGUAUCCUGAAUUGCAUGGAUCCUAAUCAUGUGUGAAGAAAUUAUUGACUCGAAGUUAUAAAGUUGAAAAUAAUUCCGUUGAAUUCCUUAUUUUGUAUGUUACAAACUAUAAAAAUAUUUACAUGCUGACUUGCUUAACUUUGCCAACCAUUUUGCUUUGCUUGCCUCCAUGGUGCACGAAAACCCGCACGCAUGAUAUCAUCCUUUAGUUUCAUAUUUUAGGUCUGCAUUUAUGUUCUUUUUUCUAAUUUGAGAUGUGUUUGUGUUUUUGUUUAUUCUGAUUGUUGUAUUUUUAGGAACCUUCUCUCCUACUGAUGGUGAAGGUUCAAUGUAUUACCUAGCGAUUAUGUCAGUUUGGCACACGUUAUCUGUUCCUUUUACCAUUAUUUUUAUCUGUGAGUAUUCCUAAUGUUGUGCUUGGACAUGUACAAUAUAUUUGUGCAAACAAGGCGAUAUCGUCAAAUGUUGUCGAAAUUUCA